UACGAAGGGUGCAAGCGUUACUCGGAAUUACUGGGCGUAAAGCGUGCGUAGGUGGUGAGUUAAGUCUGUCGUGAAAGCCCCGGGCUCAACCUGGGAACUGCAAUGGAAACUGGCGGGCUUGAGUGUGGCAGAGGGGGGUGGAAUUCCGCGUGUAGCAGUGAAAUGCGUAGAGAUGCGGAGGAACACCGAUGGCGAAGGCAGCCCCCUGGGCCAACACUGACGCUCAGGCACGAGAGCGUGGGGAGCAAACAGG
Molecule: ribosomal RNA, 253 nt
Filed under: uncultured bacterium
Lineage: Bacteria
Description: partial 16S ribosomal RNA
Rfam family: Bacterial small subunit ribosomal RNA
Source: RNAcentral